GACGAACGCUGGCGGCGUGCUUAACACAUGCAAGUCGAGCGGUAAGGCCCUUUCGGGGGUACACGGAGCGGCGAACGGGUGAGUAACACGUGGGUGACCUGCCCUCAGCUCUGGGAUAAGCCUGGGAAACCGGGUCUAAUACUGGAGUAUGACUCCAUGACGCAUGUUGUGGGGUGGAAAGCCUUGUGCGGCUGAGGAUGGGCCCGCGG
This 209-nucleotide ribosomal RNA is filed under the name uncultured bacterium. RNAcentral describes it as "partial 16S ribosomal RNA". It matches the Rfam family "Bacterial small subunit ribosomal RNA", at positions 28 to 236 of the family's 1533-position model. The record is from RNAcentral.